UACGAAGGGGGCUAGCGUUGUUCGGAUUUACUGGGCGUAAAGCGCACGUAGGCGGAUCGUUAAGUCGGGGGGUGAAAUCCUGGAGCUCAACUCCAGAACUGCCUUCGAUACUGGCGAUCUUGAGUCCGGAAGAGGUGAGUGGAACUCCGUAGUGUAGCGGUGAAAUGCGCAGAUAUCAGGAGGAACACCGGUGGCGAAGGCGGAUCUCUGGGCCAUUACUGACGCUGAGGAGCGAAAGCGUGGGGAGCGAACAGGA
RNAcentral lists this ribosomal RNA (256 nucleotides) under uncultured bacterium. RNAcentral's name for it is "partial 16S ribosomal RNA". It matches the Rfam family "Bacterial small subunit ribosomal RNA", at positions 524 to 777 of the family's 1533-position model. The record is from RNAcentral.